CCAGGCUUUCGAGCCGAAGUUCUGUGAUACACUUGGGCUGUGCUGUCAAGGAAGUCAGUGCAAAACAGAACUUUGGUUGGAGAGCCGCG
Molecule: microRNA precursor, 89 nt
Organism: Petromyzon marinus (sea lamprey)
Lineage: Eukaryota; Metazoa; Chordata; Hyperoartia; Petromyzontiformes; Petromyzontidae
Gene: pma-mir-152b
Product: pma-mir-152b
Source: Ensembl